Molecule: long non-coding RNA, 1792 nt
Organism: Heterocephalus glaber (naked mole-rat)
Lineage: Eukaryota; Metazoa; Chordata; Mammalia; Rodentia; Bathyergidae
Source: Ensembl
ACAUUCUUCUUCCCAUCUUGAAGUAUAUGGUUCAAGAACUUGAUUUGUUUUACGAUUUUGGCGAAGAUGGUUGUGUUUGCCUUUGUGUGGGAAAGAUGGCCGUGGUUUUUGUCACCCUAUGCAGAGUUUGCACACAGAAACAAAAUUUUGCCAAAUGCUUUUAUUUGCGAACCGAAUUGCCUGCAAAUGGAAACAUUCAUGAACCAAGGUAUUUCGGUAGUUGAGGGUGAAGAUCAGUGUAUAGUUUUAAAGGCUUCUCAGAUGAUUCUUCUAACAUUUCUACAACUUCCUCCAGGAGAACAGAUUCAAAAUCUGCAGCCCCAAGCUACCACAAAUUCAUACCAGUUGUAUUACUUGGGGUAAAUGGAGCUCAUUUUAAAUUGUCUCUUUCAUAUUUAUUUUAUUUUUUAUUAGUACAUGUUUGCAGCACAUAAUAAUUACAUUCAUCAUGGGGAGAUGGUGCAUGUACAUAACACAUUUUAAUUCUUUUUUCACCUCCCACAUCUCUUGGUCUCCUUCCCUUUUGCAAAGGAUCUAUCUUCCUGUUUUAUAUUACCUAUCUUUUAUUUUACUCCCUAAUUCCUUUAUACUUUUGAGUUUCUCAAAUUAGAGAAGCCAUGCAAUAUUUAAGUUUGUAUGCCUGAUUUAUUUCAUUUAACAUUAUGGUCUCGAGGUGCACUGAGUCCCGCUAUGUAGGAGUAAUUAUAGUAGUUCCAGGUUAAUGUCAGAUAAGCCCAUUUCCUUUACCAACAAUGAAUCAGAAGACAAGCACUUUAGAAUGAAAGAAAGUGAAUACAGGAGAUGCAUAUAGAACAGUUUAAAAGUUGAAUGCAGAUGGCCUGCAUCGUUUAGUGCACUAUUAACCUUUCCACCAGUACUCAGACACAAGUCAGGUUUGAAUAAACAAUCUGUAAAGAAUCCAUGAAGAUUAAAUGUCAUCAAUAAAUGUGAUUUUUGUAAUACCCAACAAAUUAUUCUAAUAUCAAAAUCUUUCAAAAUCAUUAAAAAUAAUUUUAUGUCAUUGGUAGAAGUAGGUGGUUCAUUUUUUCCUCUUUGUAAAGAGUACUCACAAAUAAAAAAUUCCAUGUCUAGUUGUCCCUGCCCCUGAGAGAUUAGGUCCAGGAUCCCCCAUGGAUACCAACAUCUAUGCAUGUUCAUGUCCUUCAUAUUAAGUGGUGCAGUAUUUGGAUAAAACCUACACAUAUUCUCUCAUAUAUUUUGCAUCAUCUCUAGAUGACUGUAAUAUAAUGUAAAUGCUUUGUAAAUAGUUAUUAUACCACACUGUUUAGUAAAUAACAAGAAAAAAGUAUUCAGUACAGAUGUAAUUUUAAUACUAUAUUUUUAUCUGUGGUUGCUUUAAUCUGUGGAUGUAGAACCUGUGGAUACAAAGGGCUGACUGUAUAUAAUAUGAAUUAAAUAGGAUCAGCAUGAUAUCAGACUUCAUUUAAAGUUACUACCUCCAGUUAUGGACCCAAAACCGAUGAAGCUGAAACAUCCCAGGACACCACAGCAAUCACACGGGAUGGCCAGGAUGUCUUCAGUUACCCAGAGAAACAUCUGUCAGACACCGCGUGACCUUCUAGCUGGAGAAACUGUAAAGUUUUAACAUGAGAAUGGUAUCUCCCUUCUAAUGAUAGCAUAGGUUUCCUAAUUGGGUUGUACCCAAAAGUAGGGCCUCAACCUGAUUUAGUGAGGUGAGCUAGUUAACAUUCUAAGUUAACGGGAAGCCUCAUAACUUCUUAAACAAUAAAGUCACCCUGGAAUGAUAUUUUAGACAUCAUCAUCUUAAGGG